ACGCUGGCGGCAGGCUUAACACAUGCAAGUCGAACGGUAACAGGAAUUAGCUUGCUAAUUUGCUGACGAGUGGCGGACGGGUGAGUAAUGCUUGGGAAUCUGGCUUAUGGAGGGGGAUAACUACGGGAAACUGUAGCUAAUACCGCGUAAAAUCUUCGGAUUAAAGGGUGGGACUUUCGAGCCACCUGCCAUAAGAUGAGCCCAAGUGGGAUUAGGUAGUUGGUUAGGUAAAGGCUGACCAAGCCGACGAUCUCUAGCUGGUCUGAGAGGAUGACCAGCCACACUGGAACUGAGACACGGUCCAGACUCCUACGGGAGGCAGCAGUGGGGAAUAUUGCACAAUGGGGGGAACCCUGAUGCAGCCAUGCCGCGUGAAUGAAGAAGGCCUUCGGGUUGUAAAGUUCUUUCGGUGACGAGGAAGGUUGAUAGGUUAAUAGCCUAUCAAAUUGACGUUAAUCACAGAAGAAGCACCGGCUAACUCCGUGCCAGCAGCCGCGGUAAUACGGGGGGUGCGAGCGUUAAUCGGAAUAACUGGGCGUAAAGGGCACGCAGGCGGUGACUUAAGUGAGAUGUGAAAGCCCCGAGCUUAACUUGGGAAUUGCAUUUCAUACUGGGUCGCUAGAGUACUUUAGGGAGGGGUAGAAUUCCACGUGUAGCGGUGAAAUGCGUAGAGAUGUGGAGGAAUACCGAAGGCGAAGGCAGCCCCUUGGGAAUGUACUGACGCUCAUGUGCGAAAGCGUGGGGAGCAAACAGGAUUAGAUACCCUGGUAGUCCACGCUGUAAACGAUGUCGAUUUGGGGAUUGGGCUUUGAGCUUGGUGCCCGUAGCUAACGUGAUAAAUCGACCGCCUGGGGAGUACGGCCGCAAGGUUAAAACUCAAAUGAAUUGACGGGGGCCCGCACAAGCGGUGGAGCAUGUGGUUUAAUUCG
RNAcentral lists this ribosomal RNA (929 nucleotides) under uncultured bacterium. Its description in RNAcentral is "bacterial SSU rRNA". It matches the Rfam family "Bacterial small subunit ribosomal RNA", at positions 33 to 953 of the family's 1533-position model. The record is from RNAcentral.